This is a long non-coding RNA of Brienomyrus brachyistius, 412 nucleotides long. RefSeq lists it as uncharacterized. The record is from RefSeq and is a predicted model, not a curated record. The transcript has 3 exons. Lineage: Eukaryota; Metazoa; Chordata; Actinopteri; Osteoglossiformes; Mormyridae.
AUACCUAACUGGUGAAUUCUCUCCUGCCCCUUCACCGCCGUAGCUGCUGUGUAGUGGGAGUACUGGUGCAGAAUGGCUGCCAUCACACCAUCCAGGUGGGGACUACACAGUGGUCGAAGUGGCUCCCCAUUGCUUGUCUAGCCUCCUGUGGACGGGAGUGGUUGGGGGCAGCUGAGGACAGAUGAUCCCCACUGAGAAGCCUCACAGCAGGGCCAGGGCAGCACUUCCAGCACAGGGCUCUGGGGCCUAACCAGGCUACGUACUAUGAAAGUGUCAGCAGACAAACCGGAUUGUGAGGAAUAAAGUGAGUGAUUGUCAUAGCCGCCGGACUCGACGCCCAGGAGCGCCACGUCGCUCUUUUACCCCACAGGACAUCGAAGGAGAGGAAUAAGGGACACGAAAGAACACCGAU